CCUACGGGGGACAGCAGUGGGGAAUAUUGGGCAAUGGGCGCAAGCCUGACCCAGCAACGCCGCGUGAAGGAAGAAGGCUUUCGGGUUGUAAACUUCUGUUCUCAGGGACGAAGCAAGUGACGGUACCUGAGGAAUAAGCCACGGCUAACUACGUGCCAGCAGCCGCGGUAAUACGUAGGUGGCAAGCGUUAUCCGGAUUUACUGGGUGUAAAGGGCGUGUAGGCGGGAAAGCAAGUCAGAUGUGAAAACCAUGGGCUCAACCUGUGGCCUGCAUUUGAAACUGUUUUUCUUGAGUACCGGCGAGUCAGACGGACUUCCUCGUGUAGCGGUGACAUGCGUAGAUAUUAGGAGGAACCCCAGUGGCGACGGCGGUCUGCUGGACAGCACCUGACGCUGAGGCGCGAAAGCGUGGGGAGCAAACAGGAUUAGCUACCCUUGUAGUC
Molecule: ribosomal RNA, 443 nt
Filed under: uncultured bacterium
Lineage: Bacteria
Description: partial 16S ribosomal RNA
Rfam family: Bacterial small subunit ribosomal RNA
Source: RNAcentral